RNAcentral lists this ribosomal RNA (274 nucleotides) under uncultured bacterium. RNAcentral describes it as "partial 16S ribosomal RNA". It matches the Rfam family "Bacterial small subunit ribosomal RNA", at positions 523 to 796 of the family's 1533-position model. The record is from RNAcentral.
AUACAGAGGGUGCAAGCGUUAAUCGGAAUUACUGGGCGUAAAGCGCGCGUAGGCGGCUUGAUUAGUCGGAUGUGAAAGCCCUGGGCUCAACCUGGGAACUGCAUUCGAUACUGUCAGACUAGAAUAUGGUAGAGGGUAGUGGGAUUCCUGGUGUAGCGGUGAAAUGCGUAGAUAUCAGGAGGAACAUCAGUGGCGAAGGCGGCUACCUGGACCAAUAUUGACGCUGAGGUGCGAAAGCGUGGGGAGCAAACAGGAUUAGAAACCCUAGUAGUCC